This is a long non-coding RNA of Solanum tuberosum (potato), 554 nucleotides long. RefSeq lists it as uncharacterized. The record is from RefSeq and is a predicted model, not a curated record. Lineage: Eukaryota; Viridiplantae; Streptophyta; Magnoliopsida; Solanales; Solanaceae. The transcript is spliced from 2 exons.
GUCUUUUUCUUCAAUUCUUUUCCUCUACUACGCUUCUGGAUCAUUCUUCCAUUUUCUUCAUAUGUCUCUCCAUAAUUUCUCAUUCCUCAUCUUUACUGUUAACCGUAAGAGGGCAACUGGGUAAGGUAAAAUCAAAGGAAUAUAUGAAUCUCUUACUCCUCUUCGAAAUUUCAAUAAGAAGAAGAUUCACUAAAGUUUUGGAUUUAGAAUUUUUUUAAAAUUCUCUUAAUUUUUCAUCGAUUUAGAGUUUAGCUCUUCCGUGGGUAAGGAUUUCUUUGAGGUUUGCCCUGAGAAACUACCAAAUUACGAGGAGAAGAUCAAGAGAUUUUUUUGAAGAACACUUCCAUACCAAUUAGGAGAUCUGUUAUUUUGUUGCAGGAAGUGGUUUGAUGUUGUUUAUUGAUUGGAUUUUUCUAUUCUGCCUUCCAACUAUCGUUGCUAAAUAUAUACUCCUGGGUGUAAUGUGAAUGAGAGCUGGAUUUGCAUCUGGGUAAAGAAAGGUGGAAUGAUUGUGCCUUCCUACUGGAAUAUAUUACCGCUUCACGCUUGAUUCA